UUAAGUUCAGCGGGUAGUCCUACCAAUCUGAGGCCGAUGAAUUAUUAAAAUCCCUUCCGAGGCAAAGCUCGAUAUGGGCGGGUUUCAGAAGCACUCCAAACAGCAAGCCGUUGCGUCCAGCUCUUACCCAUCUCAACCUCUCCGAAGUCCUGAUAUUAUCAAAACCCGGCAGGGAAGAGAGAGCGAAAAUUGAGCUUUCG
This 200-nucleotide unclassified non-coding RNA is filed under the name Ustilago sp. RNAcentral's name for it is "partial internal transcribed spacer 2". The record is from RNAcentral. Lineage: Eukaryota; Fungi; Basidiomycota; Ustilaginomycetes; Ustilaginales; Ustilaginaceae.